AACGAACGCUGGCGGCAUGCCUAACACAUGCAAGUCGAACGAGACCUUCGGGUCUAGUGGCGCACGGGUGCGUAACGCGUGGGAACCUGCCCUUAGGUUCGGAAUAACUCCCCGAAAGGGGUGCUAAUACCGGAUAAUGUCUGCGGACCAAAGAUUUAUCGCCUUUGUAUGGGCCCGCGUUGGAUUAGCUAGUUGGUAGGGUAAAAGCCUACCAAGGCGACGAUCCAUAGCUGGUCUGAGAGGAUGAUCAGCCACACUGGGACUGAGACACGGCCCAGACUCCUACGGGAGGCAGCAGUGGGGAAUAUUGGACAAUGGGCGAAAGCCUGAUCCAGCAAUGCCGCGUGAGUGAUGAAGGCCUUAGGGUUGUAAAGCUCGUUUACCCGGGAUGAUAAUGACAGUACCGGGAGAAUAAGCUCCGGCUAACUCCGUG
RNAcentral lists this ribosomal RNA (433 nucleotides) under uncultured bacterium. RNAcentral's name for it is "partial 16S ribosomal RNA". It matches the Rfam family "Bacterial small subunit ribosomal RNA", at positions 29 to 507 of the family's 1533-position model. The record is from RNAcentral.